UACGAAGGGGGCUAGCGUUGCUCGGAAUUACUGGGCGUAAAGGGCGCGUAGGCGGCACUGUUAGUCAGGCGUGAAAUUCCUGGGCUCAACCUGGGGACUGCGCUUGAUACGGCAGAGCUAGAGGAUGGAAGAGGCUCGCGGAAUUCCCAGUGUAGAGGUGAAAUUCGUAGAUAUCUGGAGGAACACCGGUGGCGAAGGCGGCAUCCUGGACCGAUAUUGACGCUGAUGCGCGAAAGCCAGGGGAGCAAACGGG
RNAcentral lists this ribosomal RNA (253 nucleotides) under uncultured bacterium. RNAcentral describes it as "partial 16S ribosomal RNA". It matches the Rfam family "Bacterial small subunit ribosomal RNA", at positions 524 to 776 of the family's 1533-position model. The record is from RNAcentral.